This 612-nucleotide ribosomal RNA is filed under the name uncultured Variovorax sp. RNAcentral's name for it is "bacterial SSU rRNA". It matches the Rfam family "Bacterial small subunit ribosomal RNA", at positions 78 to 686 of the family's 1533-position model. The record is from RNAcentral. Lineage: Bacteria; Pseudomonadati; Pseudomonadota; Betaproteobacteria; Burkholderiales; Comamonadaceae.
AGCAAUCCUGGUGGCGAGUGGCGAACGGGUGAGUAAUACAUCGGAACGUGCCCAAUCGUGGGGGAUAACGCAGCGAAAGCUGUGCUAAUACCGCAUAAGAUCUACGGAUGAAAGCAGGGGAUCGCAAGACCUUGCGCGAAUGGAGCGGCCGAUGGCAGAUUAGGUAGUUGGUGAGGUAAAGGCUCACCAAGCCUUCGAUCUGUAGCUGGUCUGAGAGGACGACCAGCCACACUGGGACUGAGACACGGCCCAGACUCCUACGGGAGGCAGCAGUGGGGAAUUUUGGACAAUGGGCGCAAGCCUGAUCCAGCCAUGCCGCGUGCAGGAUGAAGGCCUUCGGGUUGUAAACUGCUUUUGUACGGAACGAAAAGUCUCUUUCUAAUAAAGAGGGAUCAUGACGGUACCGUAAGAAUAAGCACCGGCUAACUACGUGCCAGCAGCCGCGGUAAUACGUAGGGUGCAAGCGUUAAUCGGAAUUACUGGGCGUAAAGCGUGCGCAGGCGGUUAUAUAAGACAGUUGUGAAAUCCCCGGGCUCAACCUGGGAACUGCAUCUGUGACUGUAUAGCUAGAGUACGGUAGAGGGGGAUGGAAUUCCGCGUGUAGCAGUGAAA